Thalassophryne amazonica is the source of this 349-nucleotide long non-coding RNA. RefSeq lists it as uncharacterized. The transcript is spliced from 3 exons. The record is from RefSeq and is a predicted model, not a curated record. Lineage: Eukaryota; Metazoa; Chordata; Actinopteri; Batrachoidiformes; Batrachoididae.
UGUUCAUUGAGUAAAAAUAAGUCCCUUUGGCUGCUCCUUUGUUUUUAUUCUGGGCCACCACAGCAGAGCCGAGGUGGAUCUUCAUGUCGGGUCGGCACAAGUUUUAUGCCGGAUGCCCUUCCUGACGGAACUCCAUAUUACAUGGAGAAUGGGCAAGAGUGGGUUUGAACUGAGAACCUUCUGCUCUAGAAACAAGCGCACUUCACCGCUUGACCGCAACCUCUGCCUGGAAAUUUGAUAGCUACUUAAAACAGCUGGCUUCUUCUGCACUUUGCUUUCUCCUAUUAUGUGGCGCAGCCCCUAGUGGUGAACAAAAGGUGAGCAGAGGCAGCAUUAACGUGUUGCUCUA